RNAcentral lists this unclassified non-coding RNA (26 nucleotides) under Dictyostelium discoideum. The record is from RNAcentral. Lineage: Eukaryota; Evosea; Eumycetozoa; Dictyosteliales; Dictyosteliaceae.
CAGUGCAAGUCUGGUUCCUUCUGCCA